AGUGAACGCUGGCGGUAGGCCUAACACAUGCAAGUCGAACGGCAGCACAGUAAGAGCUCGCUCUUACGGGUGGCGAGUGGCGGACGGGUGAGGAAUACAUCGGAAACUACUUUUUCGUGGGGGAUAACGUAGGGAAACUUACGCUAAUACCGCAUACGACCUACGGGUGAAAGCAGUGGAUCUUCGGACCUUGCGCGAUUGAUUGAGCCGGUGUCGGAUUAGCUAGUUGGCGGGGUAAAGGCCCACCAAGGCGACGAUCCGUAGCUGGUCUGAGAGGAUGAUCAGCCACACUGGAACUGAGACACGGUCCAGACUCCUACGGGAGGCAGCAGUAGGGAAUAUUGGGCAAUGGGCGCAAGCCUGAUCCAGCCAUGCCGCGUGGGUGAAGAAGGCCUUCGGGUUGUAAAGCCCUUUUGUUGGGGAAGAAAAGCAGCAGGUUAAUACCCCGCUGUUCUGACGGUACCCAAAGAAUAGGCACCGGCUAACUUCGUG
This 492-nucleotide ribosomal RNA is filed under the name uncultured bacterium. Its description in RNAcentral is "partial 16S ribosomal RNA". It matches the Rfam family "Bacterial small subunit ribosomal RNA", at positions 29 to 507 of the family's 1533-position model. The record is from RNAcentral.